Molecule: small nuclear RNA, 184 nt
Organism: Arvicanthis niloticus (Nile rat)
Lineage: Eukaryota; Metazoa; Chordata; Mammalia; Rodentia; Muridae
Product: U2 spliceosomal RNA
Source: RefSeq, a predicted model, not a curated record
AUUGCCUUUGAGCAUUUUGGUGAAGAUAAGUGCAGAGUCUGUGUGUAUUAGAUUAACAUGUGAUACUCCUCUACCCAAGGACAAUAUAUUAAGUGGAUUUUAGAAGUAGGGAGAUAGAACAGGAGCAUGCCCCAACUUUUCCACACAUCAUCCUGGUAUUGCAGAACCUCCAGAAAUUCCCUCA